Molecule: non-coding RNA, 47 nt
Organism: Nematostella vectensis (starlet sea anemone)
Lineage: Eukaryota; Metazoa; Cnidaria; Anthozoa; Actiniaria; Edwardsiidae
Source: Rfam
AAAAAGGCCCUUUUAAGGGCCACCACAUUAUAUAAAAGUCAAAGGUU